GUCGGUAGAGCAGGGGAUUGAAAAUCCCCGUGUCCUUGGUUCGAUUCCGAGUCCGGGCACCA
This 62-nucleotide transfer RNA is filed under the name Escherichia coli. RNAcentral's name for it is "tRNA-Ser". It matches the Rfam family "tRNA", at positions 15 to 71 of the family's 71-position model. Rfam says of the family: Transfer RNA (tRNA) molecules are approximately 80 nucleotides in length. Their secondary structure includes four short double-helical elements and three loops (D, anti-codon, and T loops). Further hydrogen bonds mediate the characteristic L-shaped molecular structure. tRNAs have two regions of fundamental functional importance: the anti-codon, which is responsible for specific mRNA codon recognition, and the 3' end, to which the tRNAs corresponding amino acid is attached (by aminoacyl-tRNA synthetases). tRNAs cope with the degeneracy of the genetic code in two manners: having more than one tRNA (with a specific anti-codon) for a particular amino acid; and 'wobble' base-pairing, i.e. permitting non-standard base-pairing at the 3rd anti-codon position. The record is from RNAcentral. RNAcentral also lists the same sequence under 2 other names. Lineage: Bacteria; Pseudomonadati; Pseudomonadota; Gammaproteobacteria; Enterobacterales; Enterobacteriaceae.